This is a long non-coding RNA of Malaclemys terrapin pileata, 850 nucleotides long. RefSeq lists it as uncharacterized. The transcript is spliced from 2 exons. The record is from RefSeq and is a predicted model, not a curated record. NCBI's taxonomy places the organism in Eukaryota, Metazoa, Chordata, Testudines, Emydidae.
CCUCGCCUGGGCAUCCUGGAGCGGCGCUGGGCUGCAGGGGCCUCGGGGCUGGGCAGCGGAACAGCAGUGGCCAGUGGCUACCUGUGCAGCCCGCCCCUUGGGGAGGGUUUGGGGUUCAACGGCACCAGCCCGUCAGUGCCCACAGCACUGGGCCUUUGCAGGCGGGACAGAAGGAAGAGGACACCCGGGACAUUGAUACCGAGCGGUCUGGGGCCCUUGGUAUCCUUUGAGGAUGGAGAGGCUAUCUCUUGAGCCAGCUGAAGACAAAAUGGAGGAGUCUCCCAGGGCUUUAUAUAGUUUCUUUCUUGUGGGUGGAAAUUCCUCCCUUCCCCUGUGUAGAAUGCCCUCUACAAGAUGGAGUUUGGGAGUCACCUGGGCAAGUUACAUGUCCAUGCAUGACUUAGUUCUCUACAGGAAUGUUCCCAGGAAAGCUCAGAUGUGGACUGGCAUCUAUCAAAGUAUAUUGUCAGCUUAAGUGUUUCUUGAUUGGGCACUUACUGAGAAUAGUCUUUUCUCAAGAAGCUGACCAAAUGCUUCACUGAGGCUACUUAAAAUCAAACAAAUACACAGCCAAUCUUCAUAACUUUGAAUACAAGAAUGAUACAUGCAUACAAAUAGGAUGAAUAUAUUCAGUAGAUCAUAACCUUUGCAGAGAUAUGUUAGGUGUCAUAUGUAGCACAAAACAUAUUCCAGUUAUGUCAUAUUUACAUUCAUAAGCAUAUUUCCAUAAAGCAUUAUGGAAUGCAAUGUCACAACUGUGUCCAGUUCUGGUGUCCACAGUUCAAAAAGCAUAUUGAUAAAUUGUAGACGGGUCAGAGAACCACAAGAAUGAUUAAAGGAUUGGCAAACA